UGAGGAAUAUUGCUCAAUGGGGGAAACCCUGAAGCAGCAACGCCGCGUGAGGGAUGAAGGCGCUUUGCGUUGUAAACCUCUGUAGUUGGAGACAAAACUCUCUCUACUGAGAGAUUGAUGGUAUCCAAAAAGUAAGGAUCGGCUAACUACGUGCCAGCAGCCGCGGUAAUACGUAGGAUCCUAGCGUUGUCCGGAUUUACUGGGUGUAAAGGGUGCGCAGGCGGACUUAUAAGUCAGUGGUGAAAUCUCGGCGCUUAACGCCGAAACUGCCUUUGAUACUAUAAGUCUUGAGUUUGGUAGAGAUCCGUGGAAUUCCGAGUGUAGCAGUGAAAUGUGUAGAUAUUCGGAAGAACACCAGCGGCGAAGGCAGCGGAUUGGGCCAAUACUGACGCUCAGGCACGAAAGCAUGGGGAUCAAACAGG
RNAcentral lists this ribosomal RNA (422 nucleotides) under uncultured bacterium. RNAcentral describes it as "bacterial SSU rRNA". It matches the Rfam family "Bacterial small subunit ribosomal RNA", at positions 355 to 776 of the family's 1533-position model. The record is from RNAcentral.